GAUGAACGCUGGCGGCGUGCCUAAUACAUGCCAGUCGAGCGAACAGACGAGGAGCUUGCUCCUUUGACGUUAGCGGCGGACGGGUGAGUAACACGUGGGUAACCUACCUAUAAGACUGGGAUAACUUCGGGAAACCGGAGCUAAUACCGGAUAAUAUUUCGAACCGCAUGGUUCGAUAGUGAAAGAUGGCUUUGCUAUCACUUAUAGAUGGACCUGCGCCGUAUUAGCUAGUUGGUAAGGUAACGGCUUACCAAGGCAACGAUACGUAGCCGACCUGAGAGGGUGAUCGGCCACACUGGAACUGAGACACGGUCCAGACUCCUACGGGAGGCAGCAGUAGGGAAUCUUCCGCAAUGGGCGAAAGCCUGACGGAGCAACGCCGCGUGAGUGAUGAAGGUCUUCGGAUCGUAAAACCCUGUUAUUAGGGAAGAACAAACGUGUAAGUAACUGUGCACGUCUUGACGGUACCUAAUCAGAAAGCCACGGCUAACUACGUG
RNAcentral lists this ribosomal RNA (497 nucleotides) under uncultured bacterium. RNAcentral describes it as "partial 16S ribosomal RNA". It matches the Rfam family "Bacterial small subunit ribosomal RNA", at positions 28 to 507 of the family's 1533-position model. The record is from RNAcentral.